GUGAGGAAUCUUGCGCAAUGGGCGAAAGCCUGACGCAGCGACGCCGCGUGGAGGAUGAAGGUCUUCGGAUCGUAAACUCCUUUGGAGCGGGACGAAUCCCGGGAGGAUGAACAAUCCUACCGGUUGACGGUACCGCUAUAACAAGCCCCGGCUAACUCCGUGCCAGCAGCCGCGGUAAUACGGAGGGGGCCAGCGUUGUUCGGAAUCAUUGGGCGUAAAGGGCGCGUAGGCGGCCGAGCAAGUCGGAUGUGAAAUACCCCGGCUCAACUGGGGAACUGCAUCCGAAACUGCCUGGCUUGAGUCCUGGAGAGGGUAGUGGAAUUCCCAGUGUAGCGGUGAAAUGCGUAGAUACUGGGAGGAACACCGGUGGCGAAGGCGGCUACCUGGACAGGUACUGACGCUGAUGCGCGAAAGCUAGGGGAGCAAACAGGAUUAGAUACCCUUGUAGUCC
RNAcentral lists this ribosomal RNA (451 nucleotides) under uncultured bacterium. Its description in RNAcentral is "bacterial SSU rRNA". It matches the Rfam family "Bacterial small subunit ribosomal RNA", at positions 354 to 796 of the family's 1533-position model. The record is from RNAcentral.